ACGCGUGACGCCUCCCCCACAGUCCGCUCUUCGUUUCUCGAAAGAGAUGUCUAUUGCAGACAGCUGUCUUUUUUUGGUUACCCUCCCAUGUGUCGCUCUCGAGCCUGUAACAGGACCUCGUGGAUGCCGCAGCUGGAUCAUGGUGGGUAGCGCGUCCUGUAUAGGUCGUACCAGGCAGAACGAGGUUCGGAACUUAACCCUAAGAAGAUAUCUGGUUACAAAGUUUUGCGCUGUUGUCGCUCAAAUCGUCUUUUAUGCCGUAUAAGCGCCAGAAGUUUGUGACGUGCCCGCUGAAAAGUGGGAGGUUCGACUUCGGCGCUGGUUACAGCGGACAGGCGAGGAGGGCAGUCCAGUCACCUGUUGGUGCGCGAGAGGAUUGGUGCCAUGGGUAGUAUUAAAAUCCUCUGAAGGAUGCCCGUCAGCCCUUUCCACUGGAACCAGCACAUAGGUCAAGAGUAGACUGUCCAGGCGAUGUGAUCAGCCUUGGGUCUUUGGAGAUGGAACUAGCCUGGCUUGCCUAUGGUGCGCAGCUGAGGAGUGGAGCUCUACAUUGGCCACAAACAGUCAGUCUAUGAACUUCACACGACUCCCAAGUUAAUGUCUGUCGGAACCGUCAGCUAGGGUAAUUCCAGCUGGUGCAGUGGACAACUUGUGGAAACAUACAGAAGUUCUUUGACCGAUCCUUAUCGCCAGUCUGAUAGCCCCCGGUCCUCCGAAGCUGUUCUUGCCAUUGUGCAUUACCACACUGGUUCCCAUCCACCCAACCCCUUGGCUCUUUUCGCUCACUGGAUCACACCGUAGCACUCGCUCCUGGUGUGUGACGCUUCGCAUCUGGUCUGACCCAGCGCAUUAACCUCCAGCCAUGGGUCACAAUCCCUUGGCCACGAUGGGCGCCAGCACGCCUGUGAGGGCCAAUAGGUCUCAGCAGGUCCCUCGGAUCAACCGCAAGGCUGGACUUGAGAUGAAAGGGUGGUUUUUAAGGAUGUAUUUUGUCCGCCCGUUAAUGCCCUCCAUACCUCUCGCUGGCGAGAAAUUUGGAGAGGAAUCAAAAACUUGUCCCAGGGGGCAGCGCGAAUCACACAGAAGGAGUUCCCUUGUCAGCGUCGGUGUGUUUCUAGACUGCAUUCUGCCAUGACGGCCUUUCGGCAAAAUCGUGUCGGCGAAGGUAUUAGGCCAUUAUAGAACUGUCGGCUCACAAAACAGUCUUCACCUUUGCAAUCCUCAAUGCUGCGAGCCGAUGCUUGUAGUUGACGUUGGAAGCAGUACCAGGACCCAUCUUGAGUUGGAGUCAAAGUUUCGUGCUUGUCUGGUACUGUGAAUGACCAUUCUACAGAGCUGAAGAUCACGCCUUUGAGUAGCAAUGGUAAGGUGGGUUGUAUUGUUGGAUCUUGGACAGGCCUUGUUGGGUGAGGUAGUCCUGGCUGUCCUCUCUCCUGAAAAUGGUGUGGAGGACAGCCCCCC
This 1461-nucleotide telomerase RNA is filed under the name Fusarium graminearum PH-1. RNAcentral's name for it is "Gibberella zeae PH-1 Ascomycota telomerase RNA". It matches the Rfam family "Ascomycota telomerase RNA", at positions 208 to 1848 of the family's 1858-position model. Lineage: Eukaryota; Fungi; Ascomycota; Sordariomycetes; Hypocreales; Nectriaceae. The record is from Rfam by way of RNAcentral.